Plodia interpunctella (Indianmeal moth) is the source of this 528-nucleotide long non-coding RNA. RefSeq lists it as uncharacterized. The transcript is spliced from 2 exons. The record is from RefSeq and is a predicted model, not a curated record. Lineage: Eukaryota; Metazoa; Arthropoda; Insecta; Lepidoptera; Pyralidae.
GAUAAAGAAUAGUUCUAUGAAUACAGCUCCGAACGGUAGGAUUCCAGCCAUUAAAAUACUGCAAAAAAGAAUUCGAUCACUUGAUGUUUCAUUCUUUUGAUUGGGGUAAUCUUUUGGCAAUAAAUAAAUGGGAGUACCUCAACUUAAUUUUCAAGUAUACUGAAUAGGUACUGAAUCACAUACACAUUUUGUAAAGAUCCAGUAUUAUCCAGGGGUGUAAUUUGUUUGGUUUGGCUUUGAGAGUGAAUCAAUAAAUCAUUUUAAUUGGGUACUAUGCAAAUUAGAAGUCUAUACUAUUUAUUUUCAUAAAAUAGAACUUACAAAUAGUGAUGAGAGCCAUGAGAAAUACUUGAAUGCCACUUCCAAUAACAGCAGCGAAAAGCAUUCUUUUUGGUGGAGGACGAAACACAUCUCCAUGAACCAGUUUCCACCCUGUUUCUUCUAUCAUAUCGUCCAUCAUUUCAUCAGAAUUAUACCGAGCUAUGUCUCGCCUUAAUGUCCUUACCAUAAUCAUAGUCAAUAUACCUG